CAAUAGCGUAUAUUAAAGUUGUUGCGGUUAAAAAGCUCGUAGUUGGAUUUCUGUUGAGGUCGGCCGGUCCCUACUUCGUAGGCGUAUCUGGUUCAGCCUUGGCAUCCUCCUAGGGAACGGUACUGCUCUUAACUGAGUGGUCCGGUAUCUAGGACUUUUACUUUGAGGAAAUUAGAGUGUUUACGGCAGGCAAUCGCCUUGAAUAUGUUAGCAUGGAAUAAUAAUAUAGGACCUUGGUUCUAUUUUGUUGGUUUCUAGGACUAAGGUAAUGAUUAAUAGGGAUAUUUGGGGGCAUUCGUAUUAACCGUCGAGAGGUGGAGUACUUGUAGUUCGGUUACGGUACGAACUAACUGCGAAAGACAUUGUCCAACGGAAGUGUUUUCUUAUUGUAUCAAGAAACGAAAGUUAAGGGGUAGGUCGAAGAAUGAUCAGAUACC
RNAcentral lists this ribosomal RNA (437 nucleotides) under uncultured eukaryote. Its description in RNAcentral is "bacterial SSU rRNA". It matches the Rfam family "Eukaryotic small subunit ribosomal RNA", at positions 592 to 1016 of the family's 1831-position model. The record is from RNAcentral.